This 196-nucleotide small RNA is filed under the name Paenibacillaceae bacterium. Its description in RNAcentral is "c-di-AMP sequence". It matches the Rfam family "c-di-AMP riboswitch aptamer (ydaO/yuaA leader)". From Rfam's summary of the family: This family represents a conserved RNA structure found upstream of the ydaO and yuaA genes in Bacillus subtilis and related genes in other bacteria. The ydaO/yuaA element is thought to act as a genetic "off" switch for the ydaO and yuaA genes in its native state. Lineage: Bacteria; Bacillati; Bacillota; Bacilli; Caryophanales; Paenibacillaceae. The record is from RNAcentral.
GACAUCUAGCCGCUGAAUGCCAGGAAACAUCUGCCACAGCAGAUCGUUUUCCUGGGAACGGGGGAUCCAACGGAGAGGAAUUUCGAAUUCCGCUUCAGGGGUGAAUCGAGCCGCAGCCGUGAUGAGCGGGGCUCGUAGGGCGACUCUUCCGCCCGAAUCCGACAGCUAACCUCGUAAGCGUCCUGUAAGAGAGGCA